UGGCCUCGAACUCAGAGAUCCGCCUGCCU
This 29-nucleotide non-coding RNA is filed under the name Mus musculus (house mouse). The record is from RNAcentral. Lineage: Eukaryota; Metazoa; Chordata; Mammalia; Rodentia; Muridae.